Oreochromis niloticus (Nile tilapia) is the source of this 729-nucleotide long non-coding RNA. RefSeq lists it as uncharacterized. The record is from RefSeq and is a predicted model, not a curated record. NCBI's taxonomy places the organism in Eukaryota, Metazoa, Chordata, Actinopteri, Cichliformes, Cichlidae. The transcript is spliced from 2 exons.
GGAUAAUUACUGCAUGCUGGCUUCUAUCUUCUGACUUUGAAAGUCGUUAACUGUGGGGAGAAGUUGGGGGGGUGAAGGGGGUGAGGUAACCACAGGUGAUUCCAUUUAUUUAAUUCAAUGCCAGCAAAUAAACUCCUCACCACAGGCUCCUGUAAUGAAUCCGCUCCCAUGUCUCUGCUGUGUCUCAUAUUAAAAACAAAACUAAAUGCAUCCUUUUGCAGGUUGGCUCUGUUAGAAAGCAGUCGCCACUCUGGUUGAUGAUCAUGUGUCACAGCAGGUCUACACAGACCAGCAGAAGGUUGUGUGAUGGAGCUUGCUUUGGACAAGUUGAGCAGACACGGGCUUAUAAAGUAAGACUUUUGCCAGACAAAUAGUUACUUAUGUGUUGAUAAUCUGUACUUUUCUUUGUGAAAUGCUUACCUUCAGGCCUGAAAAUAAUCUUAGGCAAGACAUCCAUUUAAACAUCGUAGCAUACACACUGCUUUGUAUUAAGGGGUCACAAGGUUCAGAGGAUCUUUUCUGGUAUUAUAAGAGAAUAUGUGACGCAGCAUGCAAAAACCCACCUGUAGUCCAAAACAUUCAUUUUUUACCAAAUGUUUCCUAAAAUUUCAAAGCCUCAAGAGAUUCUUAACAUGCAAAAAAUGAUUUACCCAUCUACUAGUCUCUAGUGAGACUCGGGUUCACUUUCAGUUCUUCAUUAUCUGCAUUUGUGAUCUGGAAAAGAUCAAA